CUAACUCUUUCUCUCUAUCUUUGGUUCUCUCUAGAGCCUUCUCAUAUCUCCUCCUCUCUGAUGGACCCUGUUCACCUUCUCUAGUCACUUCCCUCGCCGGAAACUUUGGACUCUCGUCAUCUCCUGCCCUCUGCUUCACCCCACACCAGUCUAACACUACCCUAAGGUCCUCAGGUGAACUCAGAGUGGUUCAAAUCUUAUCCAUGGUCUUUCACGCCAUUUUCCA
Molecule: long non-coding RNA, 226 nt
Filed under: Nicotiana benthamiana
Lineage: Eukaryota; Viridiplantae; Streptophyta; Magnoliopsida; Solanales; Solanaceae
Description: long non-coding RNA (NBEN_LNC038349)
Source: RNAcentral